RNAcentral lists this ribosomal RNA (374 nucleotides) under uncultured organism. RNAcentral describes it as "partial 16S ribosomal RNA". It matches the Rfam family "Bacterial small subunit ribosomal RNA", at positions 527 to 896 of the family's 1533-position model. The record is from RNAcentral.
GGAGGGUGCGAGCGUUGUCCGGAAUCACUGGGCGUAAAGGGCGCGUAGGCGGCACAGUAAGUAGUGGGUGAAAUCUCACGGGCUCAACCGUGAAACGGCCUCCUAAACUGCUGAGCUCGAGCACGGUAGAAGGCAGAUGGAAUUCCCGGUGUAGCGGUGGGAUGCGUAGAUAUCGGGAAGAACACCAGUGGCGAAGGCGGUCUGCUGGGCCGUUGCUGACGCUGAGGCGCGACAGCGUGGGGAGCAAACAGGAUUAGAUACCCUGGUAGUCCACGCCGUAAACGAUGGGUACUAGGCGUCGGGGGGAGCGACCCCUUCGGUGCCGUCGCUAACGCAGUAAGUACCCCGCCUGGGGAGUACGGCCGCAAAGGCUG